This 356-nucleotide long non-coding RNA is filed under the name Homo sapiens (human). RNAcentral's name for it is "non-protein coding lnc-TNFSF4-3:8". Lineage: Eukaryota; Metazoa; Chordata; Mammalia; Primates; Hominidae. The record is from RNAcentral.
AGAUGCUGCAGUUAGCUGGGGGUCCACUCUACACCCUGGUUGCCUCAGUUUUUCCUGUACUUGGAGGUAUCAGCAGUGAAUGCUAUGAAACAGCAAAGAUGGCAGCCUGCCCCUUCCCCUGGAAGCUCCAUCCCAGGGCGGUACUGUCCUGUUGCCAGCAUGAGCACACAGCAGAGAUGGCUGGAGGCCCCGGUUGGGAGGUCCCUCCCAGUGAAGAGGAAUGGAUUGGGGCCCCACUUAAAGAAGCAACCUGGCCACGUUCAGGCAAUGCCGCUGUAGUGUUCUGGGAAGACCCUUCCUUGUUUGAACCAUAUGGAUUCUCCGAAGCCCAUAGACUGAAAUGGCUGAGUCAACCA